GUUGAUAAGGUUAAGUGAAUAAGGGCGCACGGUGGAUGCCUUGGCACUAGGAGCCGAUGAAGGACGGGACUAACACCGAUAUGCUUUGGGGAGCUGUAAGUAAGCUAUGAUCCAGAGAUUUCCGAAUGGGGGAACCCAAUAUCUUUUAUAGGAUAUUACUUUUCAGUGAAUACAUAGCUGAUUAGAGGUAGACGCAGAGAACUGAAACAUCUUAGUACCUGCAGGAAGAGAAAGAAAAUUCGAUUCCCUGAGUAGCGGCGAGCGAAACGGGAAGAGCCCAAACCAACAAGCUUGCUUGUUGGGGUUGUAGGACUCCAAUAUGGUAGUCUGUUAGUAUAGUUGAAGGAUUUGGAAAAUUCCGCUAAAGAGGGUGAAAGCCCCGUAGACGAAAUGCUAAUAACACCUAGGAGGAUCCUGAGUACGGCGGAACACGAGAAAUUCCGUCGGAAUCCGCGGGGACCAUCCCGCAAGGCUAAAUACUCCCUAGUGACCGAUAGUGAACCAGUACCGUGAGGGAAAGGUGAAAAGCACCCCGGAAGGGGAGUGAAAUAGAUCCUGAAACCGUGUGCCUACAACAAGUCAAAGCUCGUUAAUGAGUGAUGGCGUGCCUUUUGUAGAAUGAACCGGCGAGUUACGAUUGCAUGCGAGGUUAAGUCGAAGAGACGGAGCCGCAGCGAAAGCGAGUCUGAAUAGGGCGAAUGAGUAUGUAGUCGUAGACCCGAAACCAUGUGAUCUACCCAUGUCCAGGUUGAAGGUGCGGUAAAACGCACUGGAGGACCGAACCCACGUACGUUGAAAAGUGCGGGGAUGAGGUGUGGGUAGCGGAGAAAUUCCAAACGAACUUGGAGAUAGCUGGUUCUCUCCGAAAUAGCUUUAGGGCUAGCCUCGGAAUUGAGAAUGAUGGAGGUAGAGCACUGUUUGGACUAGGGGCCCAUCUCGGGUUACCGAAUUCAGAUAAACUCCGAAUGCCAUUCAUUUAUAUCCGGGAGUCAGACUGCGAGUGAUAAGAUCCGUAGUCGAAAGGGAAACAGCCCAGACCACCAGCUAAGGUCCCAAAAUAUAUGUUAAGUGGAAAAGGAUGUGGGGUUGCACAGACAACUAGGAUGUUGGCUUAGAAGCAGCCACCAUUUAAAGAGUGCGUAAUAGCUCACUAGUCGAGUGACCCUGCGCCGAAAAUGUACCGGGGCUAAACAUAUUACCGAAGCUGUGGACUACACCAUUAGGUGUAGUGGUAGGAGAGCGUUCUAAGGGCGUUGAAGGUCGAUCGUGAGGACGGCUGGAGCGCUUAGAAGUGAGAAUGCCGGUAUGAGUAGCGAAAGACAGGUGAGAAUCCUGUCCACCGUAUGACUAAGGUUUCCUGGGGAAGGCUCGUCCGCCCAGGGUUAGUCGGGACCUAAGCCGAGGCCGAUAGGCGUAGGCGAUGGACAACAGGUUGAUAUUCCU
Molecule: ribosomal RNA, 1443 nt
Filed under: Enterococcus faecalis
Lineage: Bacteria; Bacillati; Bacillota; Bacilli; Lactobacillales; Enterococcaceae
Description: partial 23S ribosomal RNA
Rfam family: Bacterial large subunit ribosomal RNA
Source: RNAcentral